GAUGAACGCUAGCUACAGGCUUAACACAUGCAAGUCGCGGGGCAGCAUGGGGGUUGCUUGCAAUCCCCGAUGGCGACCGGCGCACGGGUGAGUAACGCGUAUCCAACCUGCCCUUCACCACGGGAUAACCCGGCGAAAGUCGGACUAAUACCGUAUGUUGUCCAUUGACGGCAUCCGAUUUGGACGAAAGGUUUGGCGGUGAAGGAUGGGGAUGCGUCCGACUAGCUGGACGGCGGGGUGACGGCCCACCGUGGCGACGAUCGGUAGGGGUUCUGAGAGGAAGGUCCCCCACACUGGAACUGAGACACGGUCCAGACUCCUACGGGAGGCAGCAGUGAGGAAUAUUGGUCAAUGGGCGUAAGCCUGAACCAGCCAAGUAGCGUGCAGGAUGACGGCCCUAUGGGUUGUAAACUGCUUUUAUGCGGGGAUAAAGUGGCCCACGUGUGGGUUUUUGCAGGUACCGCAUGAAUAAGGACCGGCUAAUUCCGUG
This 490-nucleotide ribosomal RNA is filed under the name uncultured bacterium. Its description in RNAcentral is "partial 16S ribosomal RNA". It matches the Rfam family "Bacterial small subunit ribosomal RNA", at positions 28 to 507 of the family's 1533-position model. The record is from RNAcentral.